CCUACGGGUGGCAGCAGUGGGGAAUAUUGGGCAAUGGAGGCAACUCUGACCCAGCAACGCCGCGUGAAUGAUGAAGGUCUUCGGAUCGUAAAGUUCUGUGAUGGGGGAUGAACACAAUGACGGUACCCCAAUAGCAAGCUACGGCUAACUACGUGCCAGCAGCCGCGGUAAUACGUAGGUGGCAAGCGUUGUCCGGAAUGACUGGGCGCAAAGGGUGCGUAGGUGGUUUAGUAAGUUGGCGGUGUAAUUCCGGGGCUCAACCUGGGCGCUACCGCCGAAACUAUUAGACUAGAGUGCAGGAGAGGUGAGUGGAAUUCCAAGUGUAGCGGUGGAAUGCGUAGAUAUAAGGAGGAACAUCAGGGGCGAAGGCGACUUUCUGGACUGUAACUGACGCUGAGGCACGAAAGCGUGGGGAGCAAACAGGAUUAGAUACCCUUGUAGUC
Molecule: ribosomal RNA, 443 nt
Filed under: uncultured bacterium
Lineage: Bacteria
Description: partial 16S ribosomal RNA
Rfam family: Bacterial small subunit ribosomal RNA
Source: RNAcentral